GGGUUGUGAGGUUAAGCGACUAAGCGUACACGGUGGAUGCCCUGGCAGUCAGAGGCGAUGAAGGGCGUGCUAAUCUGCGAUAAGCGCCGGUAAGGUGAUAUGAACCGUUAUAACCGGCGAUACCCGAAUGGGGAAACCCAGUGUGAUUCGUCACACUAUCAUUAACUGAAUCCAUAGGUUAAUGAGGCGAACCGGGGGAACUGAAACAUCUAAGUACCCCGAGGAAAAGAAAUCAACCGAGAUUCCCCCAGUAGCGGCGAGCGAACGGGGAGGAGCCCAGAGCCUGAAUCAGCAUGUGUGUUAGUGGAAGCGUCUGGAAAGGCGCGCGAUACAGGGUGACAGCCCCGUACACAAAAGCGCAUGUGCUGUGAGCUCGAUGAGUAGGGCGGGACACGUGGUAUCCUGUCUGAAUAUGGGGGGACCAUCCUCCAAGGCUAAAUACUCCUGACUGACCGAUAGUGAACCAGUACCGUGAGGGAAAGGCGAAAAGAACCCCGGCGAGGGGAGUGAAAAAGAACCUGAAACCGUGUACGUACAAGCAGUGGGAGCACCCUUUGGGUGUGACUGCGUACCUUUUGU
RNAcentral lists this ribosomal RNA (579 nucleotides) under Salmonella enterica subsp. enterica. Its description in RNAcentral is "partial 23S ribosomal RNA". It matches the Rfam family "Bacterial large subunit ribosomal RNA", at positions 1 to 611 of the family's 2925-position model. Lineage: Bacteria; Pseudomonadati; Pseudomonadota; Gammaproteobacteria; Enterobacterales; Enterobacteriaceae. The record is from RNAcentral. RNAcentral also lists the same sequence under 1 other name.